RNAcentral lists this ribosomal RNA (450 nucleotides) under uncultured bacterium. RNAcentral's name for it is "partial 16S ribosomal RNA". It matches the Rfam family "Bacterial small subunit ribosomal RNA", at positions 338 to 795 of the family's 1533-position model. The record is from RNAcentral.
CCUACGGGUGGCAGCAGUGGGGAAUUUUGGACAAUGGGCGAAAGCCUGAUCCAGCAAUGCCGCGUGAGUGAAGAAGGCCUUCGGGUUGUAAAGCUCUUUUGUUUGGGAAGAAAUCCCUAAGGAUAAUACCCUUUGGGGAUGACGGUACCAAAAGAAUAAGCACCGGCUAACUACGUGCCAGCAGCCGCGGUAAUACGUAGGGUGCAAGCGUUAAUCGGAGCGUCUGCGCGUAGUUCUGUAAGAGACGUGUGAAAUCCCCGAGCUCAACUUGGGAACUGCACUUGUGACUGCAAGACUAGAGUGUGUCAGAGGGAGGUAGAAUUCCACGUGUAGCAGUGAAAUGCGUAGAUAUGUGGAGGAAUACCAGUGGCGAAGGCGGCCUCCUGGGAUAACACUGACGCUCAUGUACGAAAGCGUGGGGAGCAAACAGGAUUAGAUACCCGAGUAGUC